This 430-nucleotide ribosomal RNA is filed under the name bacterium. RNAcentral's name for it is "partial 16S ribosomal RNA". It matches the Rfam family "Bacterial small subunit ribosomal RNA", at positions 355 to 776 of the family's 1533-position model. The record is from RNAcentral.
UGGGGAAUAUUGGACAAUGGGCGAAAGCCUGAUCCAGCCAUGCCGCGUGUGUGAAGAAGGCCUUUUGGUUGUAAAGCACUUUAAGCGAGGAGGAGGCUACUUGGAUUAAUACUCUAGGAUAGUGGACUUUACUCGCAGAAUAAGCACCGGCUAACUCUGUGCCAGCAGCCGCGGUAAUACAGAGGGUGCGAGCGUUAAUCGGAUUUACUGGGCGUAAAGCGUGCGUAGGCGGCUUCUUAAGUCGGAUGUGAAAUCCCUGAGCUUAACUUAGGAAUUGCAUUCGAUACUGAGAAGCUAGAGUAUGGGAGAGGAUGGUAGAAUUCAAGGUGUAGCGGUGAAAUGCGUAGAGAUCUGGAGGGAUGCCGAUGGCGAAGGCAGCCAUCUGGCCUAAUACUGACGCUGAGGUACGAAAGCAUGGGGAGCAAACAGG